RNAcentral lists this ribosomal RNA (507 nucleotides) under uncultured bacterium. RNAcentral's name for it is "partial 16S ribosomal RNA". The record is from RNAcentral.
GGAGUUAGCCGGUGCUUCUUCUGUGAGUGAUGUCCUUCCUGCCGGCUAUUAACCCGCAGGCCUUCUUCCUCACUGAAAGUGCUUUACAACCCGAAGGCCUUCUUCACACACGCGGCAUGGCUGGAUCAGGGUUGCCCCCAUUGUCCAAUAUUCCCCACUGCUGCCUCCCGUAGGAGUCUGGGCCGUGUCUCAGUCCCAGUGUGGCUGAUCAUCCUCUCAGACCAGCUACGGAUCGUCGCCUUGGUGAGCCGUUACCUCACCAACCAGCUAAUCCGACAUAGGCUCAUCCGAUAGCGCGAGGCCCGAAGGUCCCCCGCUUUCCCCCGUAGGGCGUAUGCGGUAUUAGCCUGGGUUUCCCCAGGUUAUCCCCCGACUACCGGGCAGAUUCCUAUGCAUUACUCACCCGUCCGCCGCUCGCCACCAGGGAGCAAGCUCCCCGUGCUGCCGCUCGACUUGCAUGUGUUAGGCCUGCCGCCAGCGUUCAAUCUGAACCAAGAUCAACUCUGA